GGCUUUGGGAAGGAGGCAGGGGACUCUGAUAGAGUCCCCCUGCCUCUUUCCCAAAACC
Molecule: microRNA precursor, 58 nt
Filed under: Podarcis lilfordi (Lilford's wall lizard)
Lineage: Eukaryota; Metazoa; Chordata; Lepidosauria; Squamata; Lacertidae
Source: RNAcentral